Molecule: ribosomal RNA, 503 nt
Filed under: uncultured Glomeraceae
Lineage: Eukaryota; Fungi; Glomeromycota; Glomeromycetes; Glomerales; Glomeraceae
Description: bacterial SSU rRNA
Rfam family: Eukaryotic small subunit ribosomal RNA
Source: RNAcentral
UUGGAGGGCAAGUCUGGUGCCAGCAGCCGCGGUAAUUCCAGCUCCAAUAGCGUAUAUUAAAGUUGUUGCAGUUAAAAAGCUCGUAGUUGAAUUUCGGGAUCAAAUAAUCGGUCGUGCCUCCGGUACGUACUGGUUUUAUUGGUUCCUCCCUUCUGACGAACCAUGAUGUCAUUAAUUUGAUGUGGUGGAGAAUCAGGACUGUUACCUUGAAAAAAUUAGAGUGUUUAAAGCAGGCUAACGCUUGAAUACAUUAGCAUGGAAUAAUGAAAUAGGACGUUCGACCCUAUUUUGUUGGUUUCUAGGAUCGACGUAAUGAUUAAUAGGGAUAGUUGGGGGCAUUAGUAUUCAAUUGUCAGAGGUGAAAUUCUUGGAUUUAUUGAAGACUAACUACUGCGAAAGCGUUAGUCACGAAGUAGUUUCGUUAUUAAUUACUAACGAAACGGAAAACGGUUAAAGGGGGUUAAGGGUACGUAACGGAAACGGAACGUACUACGAAGUAACCG